Long non-coding RNA from Mastomys coucha (southern multimammate mouse), 534 nucleotides. RefSeq lists it as uncharacterized. Lineage: Eukaryota; Metazoa; Chordata; Mammalia; Rodentia; Muridae. The transcript is spliced from 4 exons. The record is from RefSeq and is a predicted model, not a curated record.
CAUCCAUGCUAUCUCCUAAAGCAGUCAUUCUGAAACCCAAUCUGGGGACAGUGCAGACUAAAUAAAAUUUCAUUUUGAUUUGGCCUCCCGCUGCGAACGGGACUGCUUUGUCUCAGCCGACAGAACCAGCAAGCCAGAAAGGUUCCGAAUGUGUGGACAGACGUUCCUUUGGAACCAGCAAGAGAACUCCACAAAGCCCCUGGUUUGUCUCCACGUUGUUCUUAUUCCAAGUGUGCUGAGAACAAAGGCCAGAAAUGGGUAACCUAAUUUUGCAAAACAAAAAGGAGAUCUCAACAGCUUCAUGACAGUCUUAAUCUUUGGCAUAAUUGUCUAAAUUGAUGGAACAUCUUUUAUUAACUGAUGGAGGUGCAUCCUGCCCUUUCAGAAGUCAAAUAAACAGAUACAAUGGAGACUGCUUUGGCAACAUCCAUCGAGACCCUGCUAGCCUGCAGUUCCCCUGGGCCUUAUGUGAAAACAAGCCUCUUCAGGAUACUCAUGUGCUCAUGGGACAUCAAAGACACUUUAUUUUCUUAC